Molecule: ribosomal RNA, 219 nt
Filed under: uncultured bacterium
Lineage: Bacteria
Description: partial 16S ribosomal RNA
Rfam family: Bacterial small subunit ribosomal RNA
Source: RNAcentral
GCAAGUCGAGCGAGACCUUCGGGUCUAGCGGCGGACGGGUGUGUAACGCGUGGGGAUGUGCCCUUCACUACGGAAUAGUCCAGGGAAACGGGGCUUAAUACCGAAUACGCCCUUAGGGGGAAAGAAUUUCGGUGAAGGAUCAGCCCGCGGUGGAUUAGGUAGUUGGUGCGGUAACGGCGCACCAAGCCGACGAUCCAUAGCUGGUCUGAGAGGAUGAUC